GACGAACGCUGGCGGCGUGCUUAACACAUGCAAGUCGAACGGUAAGGCCUUUCGGGGUACACGAGUGGCGAACGGGUGAGUAACACGUGGGUGAUCUGCCCUGCACUUCGGGAUAAGCCCGGGAAACUGGGUCUAAUACCGGAUAGGACUGCGCGGUGCAUGCCGUGUGGUGGAAAGAUUUAUCGGUGCAGGAUGGGCCCGCGGCCUAUCAGCUUGUUGGUGGGGUAAUGGCCUACCAAGGCGACGACGGGUAGCCGGCCUGAGAGGGCGACCGGCCACACUGGGACUGAGACACGGCCCAGACUCCUACGGGAGGCAGCAGUGGGGAAUAUUGCACAAUGGGCGCAAGCCUGAUGCAGCGACGCCGCGUGAGGGAUGACGGCCUUCGGGCUGUAAACCUCUUUCAGCAGGGACGAAGCGUGAGUGACGGUACCUGCAGAAGAAGCACCGGCCAACUACGUG
Molecule: ribosomal RNA, 462 nt
Filed under: uncultured bacterium
Lineage: Bacteria
Description: partial 16S ribosomal RNA
Rfam family: Bacterial small subunit ribosomal RNA
Source: RNAcentral